UAAUAUUUGAUCGGCGAAACGUGUGUAUGAUAAGAACAAGUAGACAGGCAAUAGUGAAACAGGGAGGACUUCGACCAGUAACGAUUACCAGAAACAGUCCACAAGUCCGCUAUCAAUCGAAUGGAGAAGAAAUAUAUCAGUUCAAACGCAGACAUCAGACUGAAUCCUGCGAAGAGCCCGAGCAGUCCACCGAACGAGGCUGAAACAAUUUUUGUUAAGCCGUCAGAUUCGAUAUUCUUGAUCAUUUCAAGGUAGAGGAAAAAUUUUUACCGAACAGGUUGUGCCAGUCGUAAUAAACAUCGCGACGGUAUUGAGUUGACACCAGGUCACUGAAGAAUACGUGUAAAAGGCUAUGAUUCUUGACGUCAACACCCUUACUGCGAAGAUAAAGAAAGUAAUCAGACGAGGUGGAUAGACAGCGGUAGAGUCGGGAAUCUUGAUAAAAAAAAAAAAAAAAGAA
Long non-coding RNA from Neodiprion fabricii, 460 nucleotides. RefSeq lists it as uncharacterized. Lineage: Eukaryota; Metazoa; Arthropoda; Insecta; Hymenoptera; Diprionidae. The transcript is spliced from 2 exons. The record is from RefSeq and is a predicted model, not a curated record.